Molecule: ribosomal RNA, 253 nt
Filed under: uncultured bacterium
Lineage: Bacteria
Description: partial 16S ribosomal RNA
Rfam family: Bacterial small subunit ribosomal RNA
Source: RNAcentral
UACGUAGGGUGCAGGCGUUAAUCGGAAUUACUGGGCGUAAAGCGUGCGCAGGCGGUCUUUUAAGUCAGAUGUGAAAUCCCCGGGCUUAACCUGGGAACUGCGUUUGAAACUGGAAGGCUAGAGUGUGGCAGAGGGGGGUGGAAUUCCACGUGUAGCAGUGAAAUGCGUAGAUAUGUGGAGGAACACCGGUGGCGAAGGCGGCAUUCUGGACCGACAUUGACGCUGAGGAGCGAAAGCCAGGGGAGCAAACGGG